RNAcentral lists this ribosomal RNA (172 nucleotides) under Pterygotrigla ryukyuensis (Ryukyu gurnard). RNAcentral describes it as "partial 12S rRNA". The record is from RNAcentral. Lineage: Eukaryota; Metazoa; Chordata; Actinopteri; Perciformes; Triglidae.
CACCGCGGUUAUACGAGAGGCCCAAGUUGACAAACAACGGCGUAAAGCGUGGUUAAAGGAACAAUCAAACACUAAAGCCGAACACCCUCAAGGCAGUUAUACGCAUCCGAAGGUUAGAAGCCCAACUACGAAAGUGGCUUUAAUUCCCCUUGAACCCACGAGAGCUACGGCA